CUCGCCCUGAAGUGUUGGCCAGUUGACUAUGUCCUGAGCCGAUAAUUCUACCCUGGAGGUUUCCAGCGGAUGUUGGUGUGCAAGUCCGCCAUGCAGCGGAAAGCCUUAUGCAUUCCGGGAACCCCCACCUUGAGCCUUACGGUUCAAGGCUAUGUCAUCAGCCGCAUCUUCGGGGCUCCU
Molecule: non-coding RNA, 180 nt
Filed under: Microbulbifer hydrolyticus
Lineage: Bacteria; Pseudomonadati; Pseudomonadota; Gammaproteobacteria; Cellvibrionales; Microbulbiferaceae
Description: 6S RNA
Rfam family: 6S / SsrS RNA
About the family: E. coli 6S RNA was the first non coding RNA to be sequenced, but its function was unknown until recently. It consists of 184 nucleotides that fold into an extended hairpin structure with a large single-stranded internal bulge.
Source: RNAcentral